AUACGGAGGGUCCAAGCGUUAUCCGGAUUCAUUGGGUUUAAAGGGUCCGCAGGCGGGAAAAUAAGUCAGUGGUGAAAGCCUACAGCUCAACUGUAGAACUGCCAUUGAUACUGUUUUUCUUGAGUAUAGAUGAAGUGGGCGGAAUAUAUCAUGUAGCGGUGGAAUGCAUAGAUAUGAUAUAGAACACCGAUUGCGAAGGCAGCUCACUAAACUAUUACUGACGCUCAGGGACAAAAGCGUGGGGAGCGAACAGGAUUAGAUACCCUAGUAGUCC
This 274-nucleotide ribosomal RNA is filed under the name uncultured bacterium. Its description in RNAcentral is "partial 16S ribosomal RNA". It matches the Rfam family "Bacterial small subunit ribosomal RNA", at positions 523 to 796 of the family's 1533-position model. The record is from RNAcentral.